RNAcentral lists this ribosomal RNA (781 nucleotides) under uncultured Lactobacillus sp. RNAcentral's name for it is "bacterial SSU rRNA". It matches the Rfam family "Bacterial small subunit ribosomal RNA", at positions 28 to 776 of the family's 1533-position model. The record is from RNAcentral. Lineage: Bacteria; Bacillati; Bacillota; Bacilli; Lactobacillales; Lactobacillaceae.
GACGAACGCUGGCGGCGUGCCUAAUACAUGCAAGUCGAGCGAGCGGAACUAACAGAUUUACUUCGGUAAUGACGUUAGGAAAGCGAGCGGCGGAUGGGUGAGUAACACGUGGGGAACCUGCCCCAUAGUCUGGGAUACCACUUGGAAACAGGUGCUAAUACCGGAUAAGAAAGCAGAUCGCAUGAUCAGCUUUUAAAAGGCGGCGUAAGCUGUCGCUAUGGGAUGGCCCCGCGGUGCAUUAGCUAGUUGGUAAGGUAAAGGCUUACCAAGGCGAUGAUGCAUAGCCGAGUUGAGAGACUGAUCGGCCACAUUGGGACUGAGACACGGCCCAAACUCCUACGGGAGGCAGCAGUAGGGAAUCUUCCACAAUGGACGCAAGUCUGAUGGAGCAACGCCGCGUGAGUGAAGAAGGUUUUCGGAUCGUAAAGCUCUGUUGUUGGUGAAGAAGGAUAGAGGUAGUAACUGGCCUUUAUUUGACGGUAAUCAACCAGAAAGUCACGGCUAACUACGUGCCAGCAGCCGCGGUAAUACGUAGGUGGCAAGCGUUGUCCGGAUUUAUUGGGCGUAAAGCGAGCGCAGGCGGAAGAAUAAGUCUGAUGUGAAAGCCCUCGGCUUAACCGAGGAACUGCAUCGGAAACUGUUUUUCUUGAGUGCAGAAGAGGAGAGUGGAACUCCAUGUGUAGCGGUGGAAUGCGUAGAUAUAUGGAAGAACACCAGUGGUGAAGGCGGCUCUCUGGUCUGCAACUGACGCUGAGGCUCGAAAGCAUGGGUAGCGAACAGG